UACGUAGGGUGCGAGCGUUGUCCGGAAUUACUGGGCGUAAAGAGUUCGUAGGCGGUUUGUCGCGUCGUCUGUGAAAACCCAUCGCUCAACGAUGGGCCGGCAGGCGAUACGGGCAGACUUGAGUACUGCAGGGGAGACUGGAAUUCCUGGUGUAGCGGUGAAAUGCGCAGAUAUCAGGAGGAACACCAGUGGCGAAGGCGGCUCUCUGGGGUAUUGCUGACGCUGAGGCACGAAAGCCAGGGGAGCGAACGGG
This 253-nucleotide ribosomal RNA is filed under the name uncultured bacterium. RNAcentral describes it as "partial 16S ribosomal RNA". It matches the Rfam family "Bacterial small subunit ribosomal RNA", at positions 524 to 776 of the family's 1533-position model. The record is from RNAcentral.